AUGCAAAUGCCAUCAAAAGGACUUUUCCAAGGCUUGUAAUGAGGUUGGGCUCACAAGAAAAAUUGGUUUUUCUGGAAAACAAAAUCCUUGAGUUAAGAGAGCUAUCAUAAUAUUUAACAAUUAAGCACAACUCUCUUUCUCACCAAUCUCACUUAUUCCCAACUUCUUCCCUUUUCUUUUACAUCGAGCUCACUUUCAUGUUUUUCCUCUUUUCUUUUCUUUUUAUCAUGCAUUUUUCUUUCUCUACAUUUAAGCUCAAUGCUUCUUGACAGCUUUUCAAAUUCCCCCAUACAACCCCAAACUUGAACCUUUUCAUCGCAUACAAUUAAGCUCA
This 334-nucleotide long non-coding RNA is filed under the name Vigna radiata. RNAcentral describes it as "long non-coding RNA (VRAD_LNC012336)". The record is from RNAcentral. Lineage: Eukaryota; Viridiplantae; Streptophyta; Magnoliopsida; Fabales; Fabaceae.